UGAAGCUACAGUGUACUGCACAGCUUCAUUGUUCUUUGGAAACAUUAUCACCUCAAUGCAAUUGCAGUGAGGAAACACUGGAGGCAGAACAAGAAAAAGAUGAAAACUAAGCUUCCUCGGCCUUCCUGUUAGGUGUCUUUGCCUCUGCCAUUAGCUAUGUCCAUAGAAGCUGCUGAGCCCAUUUACAUUACCCAGUUCUGGCAUGAUGCCGGUACAGCUCUCUGUCAGCAUUUCCUCCAUCCCCGGGCCUGAAAACGUCCUCCUCCAAAGUACCAGUACCAAUGUACCAGAACUCCCAGGCGUCCAGGCCAGGACUGCUAAAGCAACUAUCUAAGAGCAGCAACAUGAAGAAACACUGAAAAGUGUUGAGGCGGAGAAGUGGGUUUCUUCCUCACUUUCUCCAUGAAAUAUGAUCCAGUUCCACCCAAAUCAGUGAUGAGAUAAUACUCACCACUGGUCAGGGGUCUGCGGCGAGGUCGGCAACCCACCCGACCCAUCCUGAAACACGGACCAAGGAGUCUAACGCGCCUGGUAUACUCGCCACAUAACGCACGCGGGAGUCAGAGGGUGCAGCAAACCCCGUGGCGCAAUGAAAGUUUGAACUCGAGAUCUCGACUUACAAAGCCAAGGUCUCGCAAUGC
This is a long non-coding RNA of Dicentrarchus labrax (European seabass), 641 nucleotides long. RefSeq lists it as uncharacterized. NCBI's taxonomy places the organism in Eukaryota, Metazoa, Chordata, Actinopteri, Moronidae. The record is from RefSeq and is a predicted model, not a curated record. The transcript is spliced from 4 exons.